CACACACACACACACGCACACGCACACACACACACACUGAGAGGAUUGAUGACUCAGUGUCUCUGUGGCAGUUAUAGUCUCGCUCUCGCUCUCUCUCUUCUUGAAAGUAUAGCAUGAUAAACCAUGAAAAGACUUUUAAGAUCUCCCAUAGUUAGAUAAGCACAUUUAUUAUUUGAAAUGUAUAUAAAAUACCUAUUGAUGGUAAAUGUUUGUAUAUUUUCAGACUUCACCAGUUUUGGUCUUAAGGGCUCUGAUAUCAUCAUUUUUGUCAUAAUCCUGAUUUACAACCUGAUUUAAAGCAGAUUUCAUAUUUUAAUCAUAAUAACCAAGAGGUCUAUGGGAUAAUGUUGCAUGUUGUAAAUGACUUUAAACUGAAUCUUGAUUUUUCGUGUUCUGUUGGGAAUCAAGCGGGUGUAUAACAUGUUCAUUUAUUAAAGAUACGUGCACACCUGUUGGUGAUUUGUAAAGUCUGCUGCUUCUAUUGUUUUAGUCCUCGUGUUUAUUGUGUACCUGUAAGGGACUAUUUUUCUGUCUUAUUUGUUAAUGAAGCAUAAUUGCAACAAACAACUCAGUGGAUCCAACUGAAUGUUCUCU
Gadus macrocephalus (Pacific cod) is the source of this 594-nucleotide long non-coding RNA. RefSeq lists it as uncharacterized. Lineage: Eukaryota; Metazoa; Chordata; Actinopteri; Gadiformes; Gadidae. The record is from RefSeq and is a predicted model, not a curated record. The transcript is spliced from 2 exons.